This 294-nucleotide ribosomal RNA is filed under the name uncultured Candidatus Saccharibacteria bacterium. RNAcentral describes it as "partial 16S ribosomal RNA". It matches the Rfam family "Bacterial small subunit ribosomal RNA", at positions 505 to 796 of the family's 1533-position model. Lineage: Bacteria; Candidatus Saccharimonadota. The record is from RNAcentral.
GUGUCAGCAGCCGUGGUAAUACGUAGGUGGCAAGCGUUAUCCGGAGUGACUGGGCGUAAAGAGUUGCGUAGGCGGUUUGUUAAGUGAAUAGUGAAAUCUGGUGGCUCAACCAUACAGGCUAUUAUUCAAACUGGCAAACUCGAGAGUGGUAGAGGUCACUGGAAUUUCUUGUGUAGGAGUGAAAUCCGUAGAUAUAAGAAGGAACACCGAUGGCGUAGGCAGGUGACUGGACCAUUUCUGACGCUAAGGCACGAAAGCGUGGGGAGCGAACCGGAUUAGAAACCCCAGUAGUCC